Cynocephalus volans (Philippine flying lemur) is the source of this 1475-nucleotide long non-coding RNA. RefSeq lists it as uncharacterized. Lineage: Eukaryota; Metazoa; Chordata; Mammalia; Dermoptera; Cynocephalidae. The transcript has 3 exons. The record is from RefSeq and is a predicted model, not a curated record.
GGGUAGACAGGCUUCAGGGGCAGCACAGCUUGCACCUGAGGGGCCUGACCUCCUGCAGACCUGGUAACAUAGUGAGCAAUCCCUGGUAGGCAGACCCUGUCUCCUUCUACAGAGCUGGAGGGGAUCAUGACCUGACCUCCCAUCAGCCCAGCCAGCACUCGGCGCCGACAGAGCUCUCCACUCACUGCCUGUUCCAGAUGUACCAGGUAGCCAACUCACAGCAGAGCUCAGCUGGGCCUGACUGCUGAAGGAAGGAAAAGGAACCUUCUCAGACCCUUUCAUUCCUCUCCCACCCUACUGUUUGUCAUAUGAGUCUCACCGUGCCAUCAUGCCAAGAAGCAUGACAGAGGAACAGCGCUCCAGAGGGGAGCAGGGGACCUUCUCAGUGGCCCGCUCCCACAGCAGCUGGGUCACUCCUGGUUUCAAUUCGUCCUUCUGCACAAACUCACAGAGCUAAGAAGAAAAGAAAUAGGGCUUAGGCCAAAAAAUAAUUCCCCAAUCCUUGGUCCACUGCUCUAAAGACAAGAUUGAAAACCUCAAGUUGGUAAAAGCUUUACUUAGGAGUGGAAAAGGAAGAAGGCGGCUCAAAAUAUAAAGUAUGGACUUGGAGAGGUACUUCUCUCACCAUUCUCUGCUUUUCUGCUCUCAUGCCUUCAAAACUAGGUUUAUUAUGGUGAUACAUCGAAGCUAGCCUUUUGAGUUCUGUGUGGAACUCAUAGUUUUGAUUACAUUCUGGAGAUUUCUAGUAGGUUUUCUUGCUGUCAUCACAUUAGACUCAUGUCUAAAAUGGAAGCCAACAUCCUUCCCUGCCUUUCAUUUUGCCAACGGCACCUAUGUCUCUAGUUACAUAUGCUUGAAAUCUGUCACCUAAUUUUUUAUGAAUCAGUCACUCAGUCCUAUUUUUCCUUUAAAAUUUGUCUUCCAUUAAGGCCAAUUCUGUAGCUGUUCCUUCAGUCCUGAGUCUAGCCCCUGGUCACUGCACACCUACUGCAGCCCCCUCUCAACCAGCCUACACGCUACUGCUGCAUCAGCAUCCCCACACAUCUAUUCAUCACACAGGCUUUUGCUGCUCGUCUUUUUUGUUUGUUUUUGGUUUUUUGGUUUGUUUUGGUGGCUGGCUGGUACAGGGGUCUGAACCCCUGACUUUGGUGUUACAGCACCAUGCUCUAACCAACUGAGCUAAGUGGCCAGCCCCCUCACUGUUUUUGAAACAUCUCUCCUUUGCCUAUUGCAGGGGCUCUUCACCAGUAGUCAGCCUGAGAUCUCAGCCAGUUGGCACUGCCAGGCUCUUUUCUUUUCCCCAGUGAGGACAAAAAUGUGGCUGGUAGUAGUGCUCCUCCCAGUGGAAGCUGGAGGUCAGCACCACCUCCACUUUUUGUCCCCAUGAUGCAAAUACUUCAAAGCAGAUUUGCCUCACUAAAAUGCUGGGGUCCCUGGCUAACAAGGUUAAAAUACUAGACUUUUUUUUUUUUUUU